UUCUGUUUAAAAAACACCAUGUAUGUUAUCCCAAUACUUGGCAGGUGAAGGCAAGAAGAUCAGGAGUUCCAGGCCAUCCUGGUCUAUAUGAAGUCAAUAAAAUAGAGUCAGGAGGAAGGAAGAAAAGAAGGGAGGGAUGGAUGGAUGCAUGGAUGCAUGGAGGAAUGGAAGGUGGGAGGGUGGAAGAACAAAUAAAAAAAACAAAGCCGGGGCUCAAGUGUGAGCAUUGUCAGGUGCCUCCAGCAUCUAUUGCCCCCUCUUCCUUGUAUUAAGGAAUGGCCCUGAGCUGAAACCACACACACCAUUGUCUAGCUCCAGGACAUACUCCAUGUCAUCUUGAAGAGAAAGGUAACCAUGGGUGAAAGUUUACACCAGCAGAAGGUAGAUGGAAGUAAGGAAAAGGAAAAGGCUGUCCCUUCUCUUUUGGGUUCCUGUCCCUUGGGUUGGAACACAGGUCAUGUGACUGGCAAGGAUCGAUUGCACUAAACAACAACAACAAAAAAGGAUAUGUGUAAGAAAAAGGGAAAGACUGAGGCCACAGCCGAGGAACAAGGGAUCUGUUUCUCCAGACGGCUUCAUGAAGCAAGACCACCGCCGUGCCAUCUUCUUUGAGAUAUCUCUGACGCAAAAAUGAAACGCGUUGUCUGAGCUCCCUAACAAUUCCAUGUGUCUGUGCUACGGUGGCUGUAUUAUUUAGUUAUUGCUAAGUAGAAAAUGACUCCAAAGUUCAGUGACUUAAAACAAAUACUUGAAGCUGGUGAGAUGGGUCAGUGAAUAAGGGCCCUUGUGGCCAAGCCUGUCAUCCUGAAUUUGAUCCCUGGAACCCUAAGGUAGAAGGAGACUACUGACUGCACUAUUUGUCUUCUGACCUCCUGGCCCCAUCCACAACACAAUAAUGACAAAAAUAGAGAUAGAUAGAUAGAUAGAUAGAUAGAUAGAUAGAUAGAUAGAUAGAUAAAUUUUAAGUGCUGAGCAUGGUACCAUAUGUCUUUAAUGGAGGCCAUAACUGGAUUGUAAGACUCUGCCUCAAAAACUACUGGUUAUUGUCUCCUGAUUUCCAUGGGUCAUCAUCUGCAGAGCACGCCUCCUUGACAGCCUCAGGAUCUCUCAGGAGGUGACAGCCAGCUCGGUGGUCACCACAACAGUCAGCAACAGCCAUUCAAGCUCCCUCUCAGGCUGCCGUCCGAGAGACAAGCCUAGCUCCUUACUGUGUGGCCUCUCCACAGGUCUUUAUGGCAUGGUACUGACUUCCCUAAGAGCAAACCAGAGUGACCAAGAAUUAGACUUUUUUUUUUUUUUUUUUUUUUUUAAAGACAGAGGGUUUCUAUGUGUGUCCCUGCCUGGCCUUGAACUCAGAGAUCCUCCUGCCUCUGCCUCCGGAGUGCUGGGAUUGAAGGCGUGCUCCACUCUACCUGGUUUAAAACCUUCUGUUCUGUCGUUGUUGUUUAUGAGACAGGCUUCCUCUAUGUAGCCCUGGCUCUCCUGGAAGUCAUUAUGCAACCCAAUUUGGCCUUGACCUCACGGAGACCUGUUUGCCUCCCACAUCUCGGAUUAAUCCUGAGCACUGGGAUUAAAGUCAUGAGCUAAACAGAUGACCUUAAGCUGGUAAAGGGGGAGAAUGUAGCAGGAGAGCUCUCUGUGGAACAGCCGAGUCUCACAUAGCUGUCACGAGCAAAGAGGGGCUUAACUUCUUCAAACUGUUUAACAGAACUGGAAGGCCAGAUGUUAUGAAACGCUAGUCACUGAAUUAUAAGGCAAUAAAUAAAACACCCCGGCUGUUGGACUCCAUGCUCCUCCAUCUCUGGUUCUUCCCUCCUUCUGUCUUUGCCUGGUGAAGUUUUGUUGUUUUUGCUUUUGUUUGGUUUUUUUUUAAGACGAGGCUUCUCUGUGUAGCCUUGGCUCUCUGGGAACUCAUUCUGCAGAUCAGCUCUUCCUCCAGAGCGCUGGGAUGGAAGAAGUGUGUCCCCAGCGCCCAGCUUGUUCUUAUCCUGUGUUUCUGUAUCUCCACCUUGCUACUUUCCUACACCUGUUUAUUUAUUUCCGUUAUUACUUUAUGUUAGGGAUGUUUUGCUUGCACACGUGUGCCUGCAUCGUGUGCGUGUCUGGUACCCAAGGAGGUCAGAAGAGGGCAUUCGAUCCCCUGGGGCUGGAAUUACAAAUGGUUGGAUACAAGGGGGUUCUGAGAAAUUGUACCCAGGUCCUCGGGAAGAGCAGCCAAUGCUCUUAACAGCCAAGCCAUCUCUCCAGCCCCUGGCUUUUGUUUUUGAGCCAAGGUCUCUCCACACAGGACAAGCUGCCUUUAAUUCAAGGUCUUUCUAUGUCAGCCUUCAAGAUACCGGCAUCACACACAUCCAUCGCCACACCUAGCUAGCACUUUUUAAACAUAUGUAGUCAGUGUCUGUUAGUUUUCUUCCUUGGCACUUUCAUGUAUGUGUAUGAUACAUUCUGGUUUCUCUCACUCCCACUCUGUGAAUGCACCUUUCUCCUUAAAGUCCCUUUGUCACGUGUGUGUCUCUGUGCUAGGUACCUCCUGGUCUACUCAACGGAGCCUUGAGGGCUCACCCUGUGGUGUGUAAGCAAAAACAAUGAUUGUAUCUAACCCAGAACCCACCAGCACCCAGUAGUUAAGCAGAGAUGGGUAUGGUCCUAGCAUUUUGUAUCCCUUUUCCUGACUCACUGUCUCUUACGUUCUUCCUGCCCACUCUUCCUCAAUGUCCUCUAACCUUAGAGGAGUAGGUACAGGUGCCCCCUUUGGGGGCUAACCACUGAGCUGCCACUUAUUCCCAGUACCUUGAGCAGCCAUGAGUUCAUUGUGAAGCCCACUGAAGACUGGGUGUAGCAUUUGUCUGUGGGUGUAAAUACAAAUAUUUCAAGGGCAGAUUGGCAUCAUGUUGCUUUAGCUAAAAAGGUGUGGUAAGUCCCCUCCUCGGGUCUUUCCCAGUCUGGCUUAUUUCAUUGUGGGGAAGGGGGGUUGGUUUCUAGCUCUAUUUAUUUUCCAACAAAUGUUACACCUUCAUUUUUGUUUAUGGCCGGAAAAAUCCCACUGUGUAUAUAUAGCAGUGCUGUCAUUUUUGAGUGUGGGCGAUAUAUGGGGAAAGGUCUUCAUAGUGAGUCCAAAGGCUUAUAUCAGUUUCUUAUCAAUGCUGUUAAGUUACCACGGUCUUGAUAGAUUAAUCAAUACACAUGAAUUGUUUUACAGCUUCAAGAACCUCGUGUCUGACAAAUCUCAUUGGACCUGUUUCUAGCAGGGACCCAUGGGUGCAGCGCUUGGAGCCCUCCUGAGGCCAGCAUAAUUGUAAGGUAGCUAGCUACCGAUCUUGUUCCAGACGCAUCUGCCUCCUUGGGCUCCCAAGCAGCAGUUUACUCUGAGCUGUGCUGUCGGUGGCACCUCCCAGCUGGGAUUAGUUACAGGGGUGAAGGAUUGGGCAAACAUUCCUCCCCUUCCCCAGAGAUAGCUAAGUCUCCCGAGGGCAGCUUCAAGGGCUUGAGUCAAUACUUCACAGGAGGAGGCUGGACACAAGAGAAGGAGCGGAUGACGAAACGGACUGGAGUCAGAGUGUUCCAGAGGGCUGUAGCUCAGUGAGCUGAAGGCACGGGCUGCCGCGUCUAACACCGUUGUCUGAAGUCCGAACAUCCAACUGCUCGAGGAGAGGGCAGAGGAAACUGGGUUUUGAACCUGUUUCUGUAGUGGACAUGCUGCUUUAAGUUCCUGUCUUGCCCAGGAAAUAGGCUGUGAUCUGGAAUGGCCAAUAGGCAUCCUUGUCCCUAAUAGUCUCUUGUCAAGAUGUUUCAUCAAAGCAACAGAAAGAAAACUAGAACAUUAGUAACAAUAUAUAAUCCAUUCUGGAAGAUAAUCUGGAAAUGCACUCUUCAGAAGUGAGAGUCAAAUUCUCAAGUUACUCAUCGUGAAAAGAAACACAGGUCACAGUCAGACUGAACAAAUAUGCCGGUGGCCACUGGAACAUGUUACUAGUAAUAUGCAGUUUAGACUUUGAAGAGAGACGACCAUUGUAUUGCACACUAUGCUGCUGGAAUCAUAGCCACAGUGGGUCCGUCUAUGAGCUUGAAUUAUUUAUAGUCAUCGUCAUCAUCAUCCUAGUCAUAGUCAUCAUCAUCAUCACCAUCAUCAUCUGUGCUGAUGGGGAUUAAAUAGAGGCUCUCUUCAAAAAAAAAUUUUAGACAAGUGUUCUACCACUUAGCCAUAUCACCAUCCAUUAUUUUUUAAUUACAUUUAAUUUUUUUGACACUUUUUAAAAAUUGAUUGUGACAAGUUCUGUGUAGUGAUGCCCUGCCUCGAUGUCUUAACGCCCCUGACUCCAUUCCCCAAGUACAAGGAUUACACACGAGUGCCCUACCAUACCUGGCGUUGGCUCAUGGCGCUAGUAGGGGACCAAUCCAUUUUGAUUAGAAUCAGCAUUGCUGCUGACGGCUUCUCUCUGUCCCUUUGAUAAAUGGGUGUCAGAGGAGACCACUUUGAAAUCUCAGCAGAUGAACCCGCUUUCCCCUCAUCUCACAGGUCUCCUGGAGAGGCGGGAUCUGGACAUUCUGAGGUGAGAAUUCUCACAAAUAAGGGCGAUGCCAGUACUGGAAAGGUCUAUGGGGUAAGUGGAAAUAUGACAGAUGCAGAAGGUUGGGAACAAACAGGUCUUGGUCGGAAAGGACCAGGUUAGAAGAGAACCAUGUGAGCUAGGUUCAAACCAGAGAACACUCUAUUGGUCUCAAGAGAUGGAGUAAGUUUAAUAAAAGAUGGGGCUAGAGCCCAUGGCCAUUCAGAUGCUAAAUCUUACCUAUGAAAUGACCACACUCAUCCUGUGGAAGUAACCAGAGCCACUGUCUGUAAACAGUACUUAGAGAUGGCGAGUGGAUGUGGGAUGCUGUGUUGGUUCCCAUCAGCCAAGAUGUUCAAGCGAGAGCUUGGUACUGCAUGGAGAAGGUGAGAGAGACAUAUGCACCUCUCCAACAGUAGAGGUGCAACCUGUGAAGGUGCCUCCCGGCUUUUGGUGAAGUAAGACACAGAAGUGAUGCCAGGACAUUAACUGGGACACUAGGACACUAAUCAUAUAGAAUUCACUCUGGAAGAUAAUCUUGGAACAUGCUCUUUAUUCAUAUAAACUCUAGAAACCACACUUUUCUGCCGGAAGUGAGAGUCACUUCCAACCUCUACGCUCUGCAGUGGCUACAUACUUUCAUAUACAAGUGACUUGAAAAUGUCUAGUUCAUACAUUUGUGAGAGUCUCUGUGUGUGUGUGAGCCUGUAUGGGUGUGUGUGUGUGUGUGUGUGUGUGUGUGUGUGUGUGUGUAGUUGUUGGCAUGUUACAGCAUGCACCUAUCUUGUUGGCCCCCUAUCUCCCCCUGUAUUUUUUACUAUCUCCCCCUCUGUCCCAUUUUUUCCAUUCUGACAGAUAUUAUCAGAAUAAAAGAGAACACAGUUUACUUUUUCGCUACAGUUGCGGUGGCUACCUCGAAGUUGAGAUCUUGGUUGUCUACAGUACUAAUGUUAUAUUCCUCUGAGGGGAAAUCUGGAAGGAUUUGAAGAGAAAGCAACUGUUCCUAAAUAUUUUGGCGCCUAAAGUAAGACACUUAGGAGUGAUCUUGAUUUAAGAUUAAUAUUCUGUUUCUUCAUUAUCCUGAGGGGACAGAGAGACCUAUCCUUGGAAGAUUAAAAAGUACCAUUAUGGUACCUCCAAAUAGCCGCAGACGUCAAGAUUUCGGUCCUCUGCUGCCCCCUUGUGGAUAACUUGGAAAUAGCAGCUCAAGCUUUCAUAAUGCUGUGUAAGAAUUGGAGGGUUGGGGAGCUAGAGAGUGAGCCUGGGGUUCCCGGAAGAGAGGAGUCAAACUGUUAAUGACGCCAAGACGCUUUCUUCUUUUUCACUUCUUUAUUUUUACUCCAGACGCAUGGUUUUCAGUGAGAAUAUGACCACCUAAAGACUCCAAGUCAUUAGACCCCAAGCAGCUCCGGUAGGGUGUCCUGUCACACACCUCCUCUUCCUGCAGUUGCACAGGGGGGUAGGUUUCUCCCUCUGGAUUGGUAACUUUCACACCACACCAUCACCAACUGACUGUGUUGUUUUCUGCAACCUGUACAAUCUUCCUUCACAUCCGUGUUGCUGGGUCCCUGACAUCCCCACUGCUCAGGUACUUCAGGGCAGUGGUCGUUUUGUUUGGAAAAGCGAGAGAGGGGGACACUUGAACACAAUGAGGGGAAGAGAUUCUGAGUCAUUUGGGCGUACCCUGCUGGAACGCGGGGAUAUCCUAAUCAUCGAGCCAUCCUCUACUUAGAGCCCCACUGCUUCCUGGUCAGCAGCCCCCACCGACCACAUUGCCCAACCUGGCCCUCCAUCCCCAUCCACAAAGAGCCACAGCGGUCUUGGGACUCUUCACUCUCCUGCCACUGGGGGAGGAUGGGUGGUAUGGCCUUUCUACUACCUGCCUCCCAGGUUUUCUCUUCCCAGCUGGGAGUCAGGAAACCACUCAGGGACCUGGCCUGAUCCCCUUC
This is a non-coding RNA of Rattus norvegicus (Norway rat), 6496 nucleotides long. The record is from RefSeq and is a predicted model, not a curated record. Lineage: Eukaryota; Metazoa; Chordata; Mammalia; Rodentia; Muridae.